GACGAACGCUGGCGGCGUGCUUAACACAUGCAGGUCGAACGGUGAAAGCGGAGCUUGCUCCGCUGGAUCAGUGGCGAACGGGUGAGUAACACGUGGGCAACCUGCCCCUCACUUCGGGAUAACUCCGGGAAACCGGGGCUAAUACCGGAUAUGACCUCCUUGGGCAUCCUUGGAGGUGGAAAGUUUUUCGGUGAGGGAUGGGCCCGCAGCCUAUCAGCUUGUUGGUGAGGUAGUGGCUCACCAAGGCGACGACGGGUAGCCGGCCUGAGAGGGCGACCGGCCACACUGGGACUGAGACACGGCCCAGACUCCUACGGGAGGCAGCAGUGGGGAAUAUUGCGCAAUGGGCGAAAGCCUGACGCAGCAACGCCGCGUGCGGGAUGACGGCCUUCGGGUUGUAAACCGCUUUCAGCAGGGAAGAAGCCGCAAGGUGACGGUACCUGCAGAAGAAGCACCGGCUAACUACGUGCCAGCAGCCGCAGUAA
This 485-nucleotide ribosomal RNA is filed under the name uncultured bacterium. RNAcentral describes it as "partial 16S ribosomal RNA". It matches the Rfam family "Bacterial small subunit ribosomal RNA", at positions 28 to 523 of the family's 1533-position model. The record is from RNAcentral.